RNAcentral lists this long non-coding RNA (514 nucleotides) under Lathyrus oleraceus (garden pea). RNAcentral describes it as "Pisum sativum (pea) long non-coding RNA (PSAT_LNC040590)". Lineage: Eukaryota; Viridiplantae; Streptophyta; Magnoliopsida; Fabales; Fabaceae. The record is from RNAcentral.
GAGAGAGGUAUCGGAGAUUAGGGUUUCGAUUAUGCCAGCGUCGGAGGUUGAUGAGAUGGUGCGGUGACAGAGGGAUCCGACGAGGAAGUGUUGUUUUAAAGGGUCCACGCUAGGGAUUCUGGAUAGAGGUUUGGUGAUUGGAAAUUGAUGACGUGGAGAAGUGUUGUUUUAAAGGGUCCACGCUAGGGAUUCUGGAUAGAGGUUUGGUGAUUGGAAAUUGAUGACGUGGGAGUUUUCGGCGAGGGCUUUGAUUAUCGGAGUUGAAGUUUGGAGGAAGAGGAGGACGACGACGACGACGGUGGUGUAUGAAGUAAGGGAGUGAUUGGAUGAGUGAAUUGGCAUUGUGAGGUUUUGAGAGCUGUGUUUUUGGGUUUGAAACUUUAUUCCAAGUAGCGGCUGAAUAUAAGUGUAUGGGUCUUCAUCUCAUGAUGAUCUAUCUAUAAAAUUAUACUAUAUUCUUUAAUCGGAGAGGAUUGAUUUUGAAUCUCUAGAGUUUGAAAAAGAGAAAUUAAAG